This 251-nucleotide ribosomal RNA is filed under the name uncultured prokaryote. RNAcentral describes it as "partial 16S rRNA". It matches the Rfam family "Bacterial small subunit ribosomal RNA", at positions 525 to 775 of the family's 1533-position model. The record is from RNAcentral.
ACGUAGGGUGCGAGCGUUAAUCGGAAUUACUGGGCGUAAAGCGUGCGCAGGCGGUUAUAUAAGUCAAGAGUGAAAUCCCCGGGCUCAACCUUGGAACCGCAUUUGAGACUGGAUGACUAGAGUGUGGAAGAGGGGGGUGGAAUUCCUGGUGUAGCAGUGAAAUGCGUAGAGAUGUGGAGGAACACCGAUGGCGAAGGCAGCCCCCUGGGCCAAUACUGACGCUCAUGCACGAAAGCGUGGGGAGCAAACAG